RNAcentral lists this ribosomal RNA (492 nucleotides) under uncultured bacterium. RNAcentral's name for it is "partial 16S ribosomal RNA". It matches the Rfam family "Bacterial small subunit ribosomal RNA", at positions 29 to 507 of the family's 1533-position model. The record is from RNAcentral.
AGUGAACGCUGGCGGUAGGCCUAACACAUGCAAGUCGAACGGCAGCACAGUAAGAGCUUGCUCUUACGGGUGGCGAGUGGCGGACGGAUGAGGAAUACAUCGGAAUCUACUUUUUCGUGGGGGAUAACGUAGGGAAACUUACGCUAAUACCGCAUACGACCUACGGGUGAAAGCAGGGGAUCUUCGUACCUUGCGCGAAUGAAUGAGCCGAUGUCGGAUUAGCUAGUUGGCGGGGUAAAGGCCCACCAAGGCGACGAUCCGUAGCUGGUCUGAGAGGAUGAUCAGCCACACUGGAACUGAGACACGGUCCAGACUCCUACGGGAGGCAGCAGUGGGGAAUAUUGGACAAUGGGCGCAAGCCUGAUCCAGCCAUACCGCGUGGGUGAAGAAGGCCUUCGGGUUGUAAAGCCCUUUUGUUGGGAAAGAAAAGCAGCAGGUUAAUACCCCGCUGUUCUGACGGUACCCAAAGAAUAAGCACCGGCUAACUUCGUG